CGUAGGGGGCUAGCGUUGUCCGGAUUUAUUGGGCGUAAAGCGCGUGUAGGCGGCCGGCUAGGUCUGGUGUGAAAACUCGAGGCUCAACCUCGAGAUGUCGCCGGAAACCAGUCGGCUAGAGUCCGGAAGAGGAGAGUGGAAUUCCUGGUGUAGCGGUGAAAUGCGCAGAUAUCAGGAAGAACACCUAUGGCGAAAGCAGCUCUCUGGGACGGUACUGACGCUGAGACGCGAAAGCGUGGGGAGCGAACAGGAUUAGAUACCCUGGUAGUCCACGCCGUAAACGAUGGGCGCUAGGUGUGGGCGGUGUCGACUCCGUCCGUGCCGAAGCUAACGCAUUAAGCGCCCCGCCUGGGGAGUACGGCCGCAAGGCUA
This 372-nucleotide ribosomal RNA is filed under the name uncultured organism. Its description in RNAcentral is "bacterial SSU rRNA". It matches the Rfam family "Bacterial small subunit ribosomal RNA", at positions 526 to 896 of the family's 1533-position model. The record is from RNAcentral.